Molecule: unclassified non-coding RNA, 1210 nt
Filed under: Hevea brasiliensis (rubber tree)
Lineage: Eukaryota; Viridiplantae; Streptophyta; Magnoliopsida; Malpighiales; Euphorbiaceae
Source: RNAcentral
UUUUUUUUUUUUUUUUCAAGAACAUGGGCAGACUUUUCAUUAAACCAGAAGCAAUAAACAAUUGUACAAUGAGUUCAAGCUUUCUUUGUCACCCUUCUCCUCGACAUUAAACAUAUCACCACCUCAAAUUUACUCACAGAACCGCGCUUUAGAUAUCCUCUUACCCAUUUGUUUCUGCACCCUACCUGUUCUGUUGCACGCAGUCCUCCAGGAUAACCAAAAUGGGAUUUUCCUUUUUCUGCAACAGUUGCGCCUUUCCCCCCAUUGUUUUCUAAUCAGAUCGCAAACCAAAAAUAUUGAAGGUGACUAUGCAAAGGAAUCAAUGUCUAACUUCAUAUUCCACCUCUUCAAUCACCACCUCUAUCUAUGGUUUGCGUCGCACACCAACUGCUAACCAAAUCAAAUACCAUUGAGAGUCUCCAACUAUCUAGCCAGAUAGUGCACGUGUCAUCAUUUUUGGCGAGACAAGCACUGGCUCAUUACUUGUAGCCUUCACUGCAGCCAUCUCCUCUAAGCGUUUCCAUGUGGUUUCGCGUUUCACCUUCAUCUCCUUCUCCCUUGUUUCAUCUUCCUGAAACUUCAGCAGGCACUCCUCAAAGAGCUCCAGGUCAAUAUCAGAGAAGAUCUUGCGAACAUUUAGCGUCAAGCUUUGUACUGCCUGAUUCCAAUGCUGUCUUGCAUUUCUCUCCAAGGCAGGGAAGAUGAUUGGUAGUAUAACUUUGCGAUUCUGUUGGAUCAAGUUCUCAAUGUGAUCAUUGUUCCAUAAAAACAAAGCCCUCUCUGCCACCUGAAAAUGUGAACUACUCAAGCAACGGCCAAUCUGGCGGAACAAGGGUACCAUGCAGCGCUGAAACUCAGCAGGCUGUGUUGCUUCUAAUACUUCCUCCAGCUCACCUAAGAACAUAACCUCUUUUGAACUAUUUGUAAUUGGCCAAUAUUUUAGCAUCCCUCGUAUAACUGUAUCAGCAAGUUUGCAGUCCUUCUCCACAAAUUGUGUAAUGCAAUAUGAUAAUUGUUGGUGGUACAUGGGCAAGCAUUUUGGUUUGUGUAAUGGAAUGAGUACUCGAACAAGGAAAAGCUUGUGCUCUUCUUUCAGAGGUAGGGCAAACCCAUUGAUUAUACUUCCCAGAAUCUCCAGUAGCUCUGCAAUCCCAUUAUGCUUCUCAGUUUCAAAAAUAAACCGAUAAAAGAUGUUGUUAAUUGCUUUCCU